AGCUCCGAGGUGUGUCACAUGCAGGAUUGCAAAUCCUGAGUAGUCGUCUAACUUCGACCGGGGCUU
RNAcentral lists this transfer RNA (66 nucleotides) under Centrolabrus exoletus (rock cook). RNAcentral describes it as "tRNA-Cys". The record is from RNAcentral. Lineage: Eukaryota; Metazoa; Chordata; Actinopteri; Labriformes; Labridae.